GCACUUGAAUCUUUCCUAGGCCCGCUACUGCGUGCUGGUCUGGGGACAGAUGGUGCUAUACUAAGCGCAGAGGAUAUCCAGACGGGCUGCUUUCCAUUUGUCUUGGGGCCCGUCUCUACAACUCUGCCACAUGU
Molecule: small nucleolar RNA, 134 nt
Organism: Jaculus jaculus (lesser Egyptian jerboa)
Lineage: Eukaryota; Metazoa; Chordata; Mammalia; Rodentia; Dipodidae
Source: Ensembl